Molecule: transfer RNA, 74 nt
Filed under: Aeriscardovia sp.
Lineage: Bacteria; Bacillati; Actinomycetota; Actinomycetes; Bifidobacteriales; Bifidobacteriaceae
Description: tRNA-Ile
Rfam family: tRNA
About the family: Transfer RNA (tRNA) molecules are approximately 80 nucleotides in length. Their secondary structure includes four short double-helical elements and three loops (D, anti-codon, and T loops).
Source: RNAcentral
GGGGAUGUAGCUCAGUCGGUUAGAGCGGCGAACCCAUAAUUCGUUGGUCCGGGGUUCAAGUCCCUGCAUCCCCA